Numida meleagris (helmeted guineafowl) is the source of this 1998-nucleotide long non-coding RNA. RefSeq lists it as uncharacterized. The record is from RefSeq and is a predicted model, not a curated record. The transcript has 4 exons. Lineage: Eukaryota; Metazoa; Chordata; Aves; Galliformes; Numididae.
UUUCUUCCUGCAAAUGGGAAAAUGCAGGAGAUUGGGGAAAGCCUGGCAACUGCUAGAGUGUUCUGCCUCUACAAUCUCCAGGUCCCACUGGUUGCAUGACCACUUUAACAUAGGCAAAAUAAUCCACACAGUAAAAGACGUGACACUGGAAGAAGGAGCCAUGGAAAAUGGAGCACCUCACUACCCCAGGGAAUUCCAGAGCACGUACUACACAAAUACUCCGCCUCUUAUAUGAUUACAGAGCUGUAGAUCCAAGAGACCUGGGAUGCAAAGCUUCUCAGUGCUACCAGUGGUUUUAUUUCUAAAAGACUGCCCUGACUGAUUUCUGAAGCCUAAUGAGGAGCAAGACAGCAAGCUGAAAACUACCUUAAGUGGGCAACAACACUAACAAGAACAAAGAGAGGAUCAUAAACCGUGCAAUACUCAGAGAAGCAACAGCUCCACUCUAAUGACUCAGAAAGCGAAAAGGAUCUGAUGGACAACUGGGUUCAUUUCAUCUCUGCUUAGUUUGAGGAUCAACGGGAGGAGACAACCACAGAGGUAAUGCUGCCUUUGGUCAUGUCUGAGUGAAUGUACUUUCCCAAGCUGACGUUGCUCAUGAGGUGGCCACCACUCCUCCGAGAUAAAUGUGUGGCUGUGCGGGUGCGUGGCUGCAAGCAGAGGCCGCCCCAGGACAGCAGGCAGGGCAUGCUGGGCCCCAGUGGGCACUGCAGGACAGGAGGCCGCAGUGCAAUACACCAAAGCUGAAAGCACUGCAACAAUCAAAUACCCCAUUCCGGUAUUUAUUGCUGCUUUUAAAAUCCAAGUACUCAGACUGCGCAGGUAAAACAACCAGAAAUAGCAGCACGUUAAUUAAUAUGCUUAAAUAAAUAAUGACAAGCAUCUCUUUAAACUAGAGCAGCUUCAAAGCACAGCUGAGGAGAAUCUCUCCCUUCAGGGAAACGAUCCUCCAUGCAAGGGAUACACGGGCUGAAACCUCAUGUGUUACCUCAGAGGCAGCGAGCUUCUCGCCUCUUUUUUAAAGCAGCAAGUCCUUGCUCAAUCACUGUCUCGUUGCUGUUUGUGCAUUUAGGACAGCAAAUCAUUCUUUCUUUCACACUGGAUGAUUAGAAAGCGUUGCCCGGAAGGGAACUAAUGAAAUCUGCUUCCUUCUGAUAGUUAAAAAGAGAGAGAGAGGAAAAAAGAAUUCACCAUUAGGGUAGUAAAGCAGACAGGGAGGGCUCUCACCGCCUGGCAGCGCCCAGGGCAGCCCGAGCGCCUCGGGGCCGCCGGCGUGAGAGGAGCCGUUAUCCCGGGCGCGAGGGUCGGUGCGGCACCGCUGGGACGUGCGGAGGGAGUCUCCCCAGCUGCGCUAUUUUUACGACGGAACAGUCAUCUCCAGAAUGAUUCAUACAACAACUACCCUAACUACCUGCAUGCUGGAGGAAUACAAGUAGAUAAGAACAUCUGUGAACAGGAAGAAUCCAUAUGAGAGACUGAACUUCAGAAGAAAAAAGCAGGAGGCUAUUGUGUACAGCUUCUCUUACAUUCCUACAUGAGAACUGCAGCUCAUUAUGAUGGGUAAGGCACCACUGCAGCUCUGAAAAACAGUUUGAAUGCCGCCUGUUCCUACUCCCUCCUGCAAGCAUCCUACAGCUCAAUCCAUAGUGGCUUUUGCUUUUGUUGACCAAAUGAGUAAAAGCCAGCAAUAAUGAAAGAGCCCAAAAGAGAGAAUACUGCUGUACCCAAUGAACAUACACUGAUUACCAGAGCUUGUAUCAUUCCUCUUAUCCUGCCCCAUCCUCCAUCUCCUUCCUCCUCCUCCCUCUCCUAGAGUCACUUCAUUUCAGCAACAACAUAAAUACUCAAAAGGAUGCUGGAAGGUAAAAGAAGAAAAGACAAUAAGGAGGCAUCAUUCUCAGUCCACAAGUGCUCCACAAAAUAAGGGCAAAGAAAAAAAAAAAGGCAUGACAGCUUUUAGAAGCUUUCCAGGACAUUUUUCAAAUGAAAAAAAAAAAA